CCUUAGUAGCGGCGAGUGAAGCGGCAAGAGCUCAAAUUUGAAAUCUGGUACCUUUGGUAUCCGAGUUGUAAUUUGAAGAUCACAAUCUUGAAAUUGGUCCUUGUCUAUGUUCCUUGGAACAGGACGUCACAGAGGGUGAGAAUCCCGUGCGAUGAGGAUACCUUUUUCAUUUAAGAUGUGUUCGACGAGUCGAGUUGUUUGGGAAUGCAGCUCAAAGUGGGUGGUAAAUUCCAUCUAAAGCUAAAUAUUGGUGAGAGACCGAUAGCGAACAAGUACAGUGAUGGAAAGAUGAAAAGAACUUUGAAAAGAGAGUGAAAAAGUACGUGAAAUUGUUGAAAGGGAAGGGUAUUUAAUCAGACUUGGUAUUUAGCUAUCUCUUCUCCUUGUGGGAGGGGCUCUAGCUUUUUACUGGGCCAGCAUCAGUUUUGGUGGUAAGAUAAUCGCAGUCGAAUGUGGCUCCUCGGAGUGUUAUAGCUUCUGUUGAUGUUACCUACUGGGACUGAGGUCUGCGGCUUUGCCUAGGAUGCUGGCGUAAUGAUUAAACACCGC
RNAcentral lists this ribosomal RNA (549 nucleotides) under Ambrosiozyma platypodis. RNAcentral's name for it is "eukaryotic LSU rRNA". It matches the Rfam family "Eukaryotic large subunit ribosomal RNA", at positions 78 to 648 of the family's 3401-position model. Lineage: Eukaryota; Fungi; Ascomycota; Pichiomycetes; Pichiales; Pichiaceae. The record is from RNAcentral.